This 424-nucleotide ribosomal RNA is filed under the name uncultured prokaryote. RNAcentral's name for it is "bacterial SSU rRNA". It matches the Rfam family "Bacterial small subunit ribosomal RNA", at positions 355 to 796 of the family's 1533-position model. The record is from RNAcentral.
UGGGGAAUAUUGGACAAUGGGGGCAACCCUGAUCCAGCGAUGCCGCGUGAGUGAUGAAGGCCUUAGGGUUGUAAAACUCUUUCAGGGGUGAAGAUAAUGACGGUAACCCCAGAAGAAGCUCCGGCUAACUCCGUGCCAGCAGCCGCGGUAAUACGGAGGGAGCUAGCGUUGUUCGGAAUUACUGGGCGUAAAGCGCGCGUAGGCGGCUUGGCAAGUUGGGGGUGAAAUCCCGGGGCUUAACCUCGGAACUGCCCUCAAAACUGCUGAGCUAGAAUCCUGGAGAGGUGAGCGGAAUUCCUAGUGUAGAGGUGAAAUUCGUAGAUAUUAGGAAGAACACCAGUGGCGAAGGCGGCUCACUGGACAGGUAUUGACGCUGAGGUGCGAAAGCGUGGGGAGCGAACAGGAUUAGAUACCCCCGUAGUCC